AUGGACUCAAUUCUUUCUAAUGGAACUUGGGAACUAACUGAUAGACCAUAUGGUUGUAAACCUGUGGGCUGUAAGUGGGUGUUCAAAAAGAAGCUAAAGCCUGAUGGUACUAUUGAUAAGUACAAGGCGCGGCUAGUGGCCAAGGGCUACACUCAGAAAGAAGGCGAAGAUUACUUUGACACCUAUUCACCCGUUGCUAGAAUGACCACCAUUCGAGUCUUACUUUCCUUGGCUGCCUCUUAUGGUCUUAUCAUUCAUCAAAUGGAUGUAAAGACAGCUUUUCUCAAUGGAGAGUUGGAAGAGGAGAUCUAUAUGGAUCAGCCUGACGGGUUUGUGGUAAAGGGUGAAGAGAGAAAGGUGUGCAAGUUGUUAAAAUCUUUGUAUGGUCUGAAACAGGCACCUAAGCAAUGGCAUGAGAAGUUUGAAAGAACUCUGACUUCUGCAGGAUUUGUCAUUAACGAGGCUGAUAGGUGUGUUUACUAUCGCCAUGGUGGGGGCAAUAGUGUCAUAUUUUGUUUGUAUGUGGACGACAUACUGAUCUUUGGUACAAACAUUAAUGCAAUUAAUGAGGUCAAGUCUUUUCUAUCAAAGAGUUUUGACAUGAAAGAUCUGGGAGAAGCCGAUGUAAUUCUAAACAUCAAACUUAUUAAGGAUGAGAGUGGGAUUACAUUAACGCAAUCUCACUAUGUUGAGAAGGUCUUGAACCGAUUCGGUUUUAUGGAUAGCAAGCCUUCUCCAACACCUUAUGAUCCCAGCGUGACACUCAGAAAGAACAAGAAAGAAACGAGAGAUCAAUUAAGAUACUCUCAAAUUGUCGGUUCACUCAUGUACUUAGCUAGCGCUACAAGACCAGAUAUCUCUUUUGCUGUGAGCAAACUGAGUAGGUUCAUGUCCAACCCGGGUGAUGAUCAUUGGCAUGCACUAGAAAGGGUCUUGCGCUAUCUGAGAGGUACUAUGAGUUACGGCAUUACUUAUUCAGGGCAUCCUGCUGCGCUAGAAGGAUAUAGUGAUUCAAAUUGGAUCUCCGAUGUUGAUGUACUCUACGCAACAAGUGGGUAUGUAUUUACUCAUGGUGGUGGCGCAGUGUCAUGGAGGUCUUGCAAGCAAACCAUAUUGACGAGGUCAACUAUGGAAGCAGAAUUAACUGCUUUGGACACAGCUACUGUUGAGGCAGAAUGGCUGCGUGAGCUCUUGAUGGACUUGCCGGUUGUUGAAAAACCUGUACCGGCUAUUCUUAUGAAUUGUGAUAACCAAACGGUUAUCGCUAAAGUGAACAAUUCUAAAGAUAAUGCAAAGUCAUCAAGACACGUGAAGAGACGUUUGAAGUCUGUCAGGAAGUUGAGAAACUCCGGAGUAAUAACUGUUACGUAUAUACAAACAGACAAAAACCUGGCAGAUCCCUUUACAAAGGGACUAUCACGAAAUGUGAUAGAUAUUGCAUCGAGGGAGAUGGGUAUGAGACCCAUAGAAGAUGCUGUCCUACAGAGCAGUCUUGAAAGAACACACCUAUAUGAGUUCUGA
This 1521-nucleotide ribosomal RNA is filed under the name Triticum aestivum (bread wheat). Its description in RNAcentral is "partial small subunit ribosomal RNA". Lineage: Eukaryota; Viridiplantae; Streptophyta; Magnoliopsida; Poales; Poaceae. The record is from RNAcentral.